UACGGAGGGUGCGAGCGUUGUCCGGAAUCACUGGGCGUAAAGGGCGCGUAGGCGGCGCGGGUAGUCAACGGUGAAAGCUUGGGGCUCAACCCCGAGUCGGCCGUCGAUACUCCCGUGCUUGAGCACUGUAGAGGCAGGUGGAAUUCCGGGUGUAGCGGUGGAAUGCGUAGAGAUCCGGAAGAACCCCGGUGGCGAAGGCGGCCUGCUGGGCGGUAGCUGACGCUGAGGCGCGACAGCGUGGGAGCAAACAGG
This 252-nucleotide ribosomal RNA is filed under the name uncultured bacterium. Its description in RNAcentral is "partial 16S ribosomal RNA". It matches the Rfam family "Bacterial small subunit ribosomal RNA", at positions 524 to 776 of the family's 1533-position model. The record is from RNAcentral.